AACGAACGCUGGCGGCAUGCCUAACACAUGCAAGUCGAACGAGACCUUCGGGUCUAGUGGCGCACGGGUGCGUAACGCGUGGGAACCUGCCCUUAGGUUCGGAAUAACUCCCCGAAAGGGGUGCUAAUACCGGAUAAUGUCUUCGGACCAAAGAUUUAUCGCCUUUGGAUGGGCCCGCGUUGGAUUAGCUAGUUGGUAGGGUAAAAGCCUACCAAGGCGACGAUCCAUAGCUGGUCUGAGAGGAUGAUCAGCCACACUGGGACUGAGACACGGCCCAGACUCCUACGGGAGGCAGCAGUGGGGAAUAUUGGACAAUGGGCGAAAGCCUGAUCCAGCAAUGCCGCGUGAGUGAUGAAGGCCUGAGGGUUGUAAAGCUCUUUUACCCGGGAUGAUAAGGACAGUACCGGGAGAAUAAGCUCCGGCUAACGCCGGG
Molecule: ribosomal RNA, 433 nt
Filed under: uncultured bacterium
Lineage: Bacteria
Description: partial 16S ribosomal RNA
Rfam family: Bacterial small subunit ribosomal RNA
Source: RNAcentral